Molecule: long non-coding RNA, 620 nt
Filed under: Cyanistes caeruleus (blue tit)
Lineage: Eukaryota; Metazoa; Chordata; Aves; Passeriformes; Paridae
Description: lncRNA (ENSCCEG00000022781.1)
Source: RNAcentral
UGGCCCUGUAAUGAUGUUCCCUCCAAUGCCUGAAAGGGUACUCAAGGGAGUUUUUAAGCUCCAUUUCUGAGGCCAGAAGACAUGCGAGAUGACUGUGACAUCAGCACCUGUGUCCAUCGUCCCUUGGAUUGAGAUCGUCUUGCUGUUAUAUGUCAAGUUGCAGGUGAUUACAGGUCUAUCAUGACUUAUCUGCUCCACCCAGAUUGUCAAUAGACCAUAAGCUCUACAGGAAAAAAAAGAACUAAAUAUAACACAACAACCUGAGAAGAGGGUCUGGUGUGAUGAAGGACCUACAAGAACAGACUGAGCUAGCUACUGACAGAUGUUCACAGACUACUUCAGUAAUCACAGUGUUCAUUGCCUUUGCUGCUGCUGGCUCUGCAGACCCGACGCCUUUCCGGCACCCUGGUUUUUCAUGAAGAGGCAUCUGACAAAUAUUACAGAGACACAACCUGAGCAGCCUUUCUUGCCACUGCUGCACUUGUCAGCAAUUUUGUGUCCAUAGAACAGAAACCAAAGAAAUAAUAUAAUUCUGCCAGUUAGGGAAGUGGCCUAUGGUUAAACUAAUUACAGCAAUUUUUUUUAAAGCUGCCUCAAGCUUAAAUGCUUCAUGAUACAAU